GACGAACGCUGGCGGCGUGCUUAACACAUGCAAGUCGAACGGAAAGGCCCUGCUUUUGCGGGGUGCUCGAUUGCCGAAGGGGUGAGUAACACGGGAGUAACCCGCCCCUGACUUACGGAUAACAUUAGGAAACAGGGGCUAAUACCGGAUAGGAUCUCCUGCUGCGCGUUGGGCGUUGGAGAGUUUCGGCGUUUGGGGAUGGACUCGCGGCAUAUCCGCUUGUUGGUGAGGUAGUGGCUUACCAAGGCUUUGAGGGGUAGCCGGCAUGAGAGGGUGAACGGCCACAUUAGGACUGAGAUACGGCCCAGACUGCAACGGGAGGCAACAGUGGAGAAUAUUACACAAUAAGCGGAAGCCAGAUGUAGCGACGCCGCGUGCGGGAUGACGGCAUUCGGGUUGUGAACCGAUGUCGAAUGUGACGAGGAGAGAGUGACGGUAACGGAUAAAGAAGCACCGGCUAACUACGUG
This 468-nucleotide ribosomal RNA is filed under the name uncultured bacterium. RNAcentral's name for it is "partial 16S ribosomal RNA". It matches the Rfam family "Bacterial small subunit ribosomal RNA", at positions 28 to 507 of the family's 1533-position model. The record is from RNAcentral.